Molecule: ribosomal RNA, 614 nt
Filed under: Alcaligenes faecalis
Lineage: Bacteria; Pseudomonadati; Pseudomonadota; Betaproteobacteria; Burkholderiales; Alcaligenaceae
Description: bacterial SSU rRNA
Rfam family: Bacterial small subunit ribosomal RNA
Source: RNAcentral
CGGGGGAUAACUACUCGAAAGAGUGGCUAAUACCGCAUACGCCCUACGGGGGAAAGGGGGGGAUCGCAAGACCUCUCACUAUUGGAGCGGCCGAUAUCGGAUUAGCUAGUUGGUGGGGUAAAGGCUCACCAAGGCAACGAUCCGUAGCUGGUUUGAGAGGACGACCAGCCACACUGGGACUGAGACACGGCCCAGACUCCUACGGGAGGCAGCAGUGGGGAAUUUUGGACAAUGGGGGAAACCCUGAUCCAGCCAUCCCGCGUGUAUGAUGAAGGCCUUCGGGUUGUAAAGUACUUUUGGCAGAGAAGAAAAGGUAUCCCCUAAUACGGGAUACUGCUGACGGUAUCUGCAGAAUAAGCACCGGCUAACUACGUGCCAGCAGCCGCGGUAAUACGUAGGGUGCAAGCGUUAAUCGGAAUUACUGGGCGUAAAGCGUGUGUAGGCGGUUCGGAAAGAAAGAUGUGAAAUCCCAGGGCUCAACCUUGGAACUGCAUUUUUAACUGCCGAGCUAGAGUAUGUCAGAGGGGGGUAGAAUUCCACGUGUAGCAGUGAAAUGCGUAGAUAUGUGGAGGAAUACCGAUGGCGAACCCCUGGGAUAAUACUGACGCUCAGAC